Molecule: ribosomal RNA, 683 nt
Filed under: Omaloplia nigromarginata
Lineage: Eukaryota; Metazoa; Arthropoda; Insecta; Coleoptera; Scarabaeidae
Description: eukaryotic LSU rRNA
Rfam family: Eukaryotic large subunit ribosomal RNA
Source: RNAcentral
GGGACCCGUCUUGAAACACGGACCAAGGAGUCUAGCAUGUGCGCGAGUCAUUGGGAUAAUACGAAACCUAAAGGCGCAAUGAAAGUGAAGGUCCGCCUUGCGCGGACCGAGGGAGGAUGGACGGUCUCGAGGGGCCGUCUCGCACUCCCGGGGCGUCUCGUUCUCAUUGCGAGAAGAGGCGCACCCAGAGCGUACACGCUGGGACCCGAAAGAUGGUGAACUAUGCCUGGUCAGGACGAAGUCAGGGGAAACCCUGAUGGAGGUCCGUAGCGAUUCUGACGUGCAAAUCGAUCGUCGGAACUGGGUAUAGGGGCGAAAGACUAAUCGAACCAUCUAGUAGCUGGUUCCCUCCGAAGUUUCCCUCAGGAUAGCUGGCGCUCGCUUCUCGCGAGUCUCAUUCGGUAAAGCGAAUGAUUAGAGGCAUUGGGGUCGAAACGGCCUCAACCUAUUCUCAAACUUUAAAUGGGUGAGAUCUCCGGCUUGCUUGAACUGUGAAGCCGCGAGAUACGGAUCAGAGUGCCAAGUGGGCCACUUUUGGUAAGCAGAACUGGCGCUGUGGGAUGAACCAAACGCUGAGUUAAAGCGCCUAAAUCGACGCUUAUGGGAUACCAUGAAAGGCGUUGGUAACUUAAGACAGCAGGACGGUGGCCAUGGAAGUCGGAAUCCGCUAAGGAGUGUGUAAA